GUCCCUGUGGAGUAAGUGAGGCAACUCCCUCCCUCCCCAUUGCUGUCUUCGAUGAUUCAAGCACGGGAGAGCUGGUGGUUCGAAUUCACCCAGGGACA
Mycena albidolilacea is the source of this 98-nucleotide non-coding RNA. NCBI's taxonomy places the organism in Eukaryota, Fungi, Basidiomycota, Agaricomycetes, Agaricales, Mycenaceae. The record is from the annotation of a GenBank genome assembly.